ACCCGCUGAACUUAAGCAUAUCAAUAAGCGGAGGAAAAGAAACCAACAGGGAUUGCCCUAGUAACGGCGAGUGAAGCGGCAACAGCUCAAAUUUGAAAUCUGGCUUCGGCCCGAGUUGUAAUUUGCAGAGGAAGCUUUAGGCGCGGCACCAUCUGAGUCCCCUGGAACGGGGCGCCAUAGAGGGUGAGAGCCCCGUAUAGUUGGAUGCCUAGCCUGUGUAAAGCUCCUUCGACGAGUCGAGUAGUUUGGGAAUGCUGCUCAAAAUGGGAGGUAAAUUUCUUCUAAAGCUAAAUACCGGCCAGAGACCGAUAGCGCACAAGUAGAGUGAUCGAAAGAUGAAAAGCACUUUGAAAAGAGGGUUAAAUAGCACGUGAAAUUGUUGAAAGGGAAGCGCUUGUGACCAGACUUGCGCCGGGCGGAUCAUCCGGUGUUCUCACCGGUGCACUCCGCCCGGCUCAGGCCAGCAUCGGUUCUCGCGGGGGGAUAAAGGCCCUGGGAACGUAGCUCCUCCGGGAGUGUUAUAGCCCAGGGCGUAAUGCCCUCGCGGGGACCGAGGACCGCGCAUCUGCAAGGAUGCUGGCGUAAUGGUCAUCAGCGACCCGUCUUGAAACACGG
Molecule: ribosomal RNA, 615 nt
Filed under: uncultured fungus
Lineage: Eukaryota; Fungi
Description: LSU rRNA
Rfam family: Eukaryotic large subunit ribosomal RNA
Source: RNAcentral